AUGGCUACUGCAUAUGCUCCUCCGAUGGCAAGCCAGGUGAUGAAGAGCGGCUUGGUGUGCUCCAAGCCGAGGGGACUGUCCGGCGCUUCACUCACCAGGAGGCCCCGCUUCGUCGUCAAGGCCGUCAAGUCCGACAAGGGGACGUACCAGGUGGUCCAGCCCAUCAACGGCGACCCAUUCAUCGGCAGCCUGGAGACGCCCGUCACGUCCAGCCCCCUCGUCGCGUGGUACCUCUCCAACCUUCCCGCGUACCGCACCGCCGUCAGCCCGCUCCUCCGUGGCAUCGAGGUCGGCCUCGCCCACGGCUACCUCCUCGUCGGCCCCUUCGCGCUCACCGGCCCGCUCCGCAACACGCCAAUUCACGGCCAGGCGGGAACCCUCGGCGCCAUCGGCCUCGUCUCCAUCCUCAGCGUCUGCCUCACCAUGUACGGCGUCGCCUCCUUCAACGAGGGCGCGCCCUCCACCGCGCCCGCCCUCACGCUCACCGGCCGCAAGAAGGAGGCCGACAAGCUGCAGACCGCCGAAGGCUGGUCCCAGUUCACCGGAGGCUUCUUCUUCGGCGGCGUCUCCGGCGCCAUCUGGGCCUACUUCCUCCUCUACGUGCUCGACCUCCCAUACUUCUUCAAGUAG
Molecule: ribosomal RNA, 630 nt
Filed under: Triticum aestivum (bread wheat)
Lineage: Eukaryota; Viridiplantae; Streptophyta; Magnoliopsida; Poales; Poaceae
Description: partial small subunit ribosomal RNA
Source: RNAcentral